AUUGAACGCUGGCGGAAUGCUUUACACAUGCAAGUCGAACGGCAGCACGGACUUCGGUCUGGUGGCGAGUGGCGAACGGGUGAGUAAUGUAUCGGAACGUGCCCAGUCGUGGGGGAUAACGUAGUGAAAAUUACGCUAAUACCGCAUACGAUCUAUGGAUGAAAGCGGGGGAUCGCAAGACCUCGCGCGAUUGGAGCGGCCGAUAUCAGAUUAGGUAGUUGGUGGGGUAAAGGCCCACCAAGCCAACGAUCUGUAGCUGGUCUGAGAGGACGACCAGCCACACUGGAACGGAGACACGGUCCAGACUCCUACGGGAGGCAGCAGUGGGGAAUUUUGGACAGUGGGCGAAAGCCUGAUCCAGCCAUUCCGCGUGCAGGAUGAAGGCCCUCGGGUUGUAAACUGCUUUUGUACAGAACGAAAAGGUUUCUACUAAUACUAGGAGCUCAUGACGGUACUGUAAGAAUAAGCACCGGCUAACUACGUGCCAGCAGCCGCCGCUG
Molecule: ribosomal RNA, 500 nt
Filed under: uncultured bacterium
Lineage: Bacteria
Description: partial 16S ribosomal RNA
Rfam family: Bacterial small subunit ribosomal RNA
Source: RNAcentral